Long non-coding RNA from Papaver somniferum (opium poppy), 886 nucleotides. RefSeq lists it as uncharacterized. The record is from RefSeq and is a predicted model, not a curated record. Lineage: Eukaryota; Viridiplantae; Streptophyta; Magnoliopsida; Ranunculales; Papaveraceae. The transcript is spliced from 3 exons.
CUCGAACUCCCUAUAACAGGGAAAAGAGCGUUGAGAAGGAGGAAGCCAGUUCAUCAAAGCAAUAUCCAGGAGAGGGCGGAACAGAUGGAAGAAAUCAAAACCAAAGACUUGGUCUCUUUCAGAUUAGUGCUGCAUAGGAGUUCAAGUUUUUAGCUUAUAAAAAUCAAAUUUAACCCGGUGAAGCUAGGUAUUAUAAAGCUGCUCAUCAAUUCAGUAUGUACAAGGGUAUUCCUCGUCCACGUGCUUACUACCGGUGCGCAAUGGCUGUAUGAUGCCCAGUGCGGAAGCAGGUGCAGAGAUGUUCGGGAGACAAGACUAUAUUACAGCUUAUGAAGGAAAUCACGAUCAUCCUUUACUGUCUUAAGACACAGCAAUAGCUCACACAACCAUUGCAGCUGCUACUGGGCACCUCUCAGGUUCCAUGAGCAACAACAGAUAAACAACCGGCGCAGCGAAUGGUUUCUUCUCUUCACCAUCAACAGCUCUUGUAUUCCCUUACACUGCUAACAUUGCUACGCUGUCAGCCUCUGCACCGUCAAACUGCACACCAGUUGGCUUGUAAAGUUAAAGUUUUAAUCUUAUCGUGGCUUAAAGUCCAUCAUCCUACAAGUGCAAUACCCUUCAGCGACUGGAUAUUCACAUGGGACAUUCUUUUGGAGUGGCAGCCACCUUAGGUGUUUGGAUUUUGAUUUCAUCUCUAGUCUGUAAAGCUUUUUGAAUGGAGUUGGUUUUGUACUUGAUGUUCUUUUGGUUUUUUUGAUCAUUAGAACUUGCCUGUAUUGCUUGUACAUUGUACAAUUUUUAUUUGUAAACUUCGAAAAACCACUAUUGUAAGACAUCAUCUGUAUAAAAUGUUUAACCCCUAAUAAAAUAAACCAGAUUUGAU